Non-coding RNA from Oryza glumipatula, 203 nucleotides. The record is from Rfam. NCBI's taxonomy places the organism in Eukaryota, Viridiplantae, Streptophyta, Magnoliopsida, Poales, Poaceae.
UUUAAGUGCAACUAUAGGUUUCCGUGCCCAACUUUAAUCGUUCGUCUUAUUUGAAUUUUUUUAUACUUAGUAUUUUUAUUGUUAUGAGAUGAUAAAACAUAAAUAGUACUUUAUAUGUGACUUAUGUUUUUAUUUUUUUUAAAAAAAAGUCAAAUAAGACGAACGAUCAAAGUUGUGCACGGAAAAUCAUAGCUGCACUUAAA